AGCCAUCCUUUAAAGAAAGCGUAACAGCUCACUCAUCAAGCGACCCUGCGCCGAAAAUGUAACGGGGCUAAAGCUAUAUACCGAAAUCGUGGACUCCAUUGGAGUGGUAGCGGAGCGUUCCGUAAGCCUGUGAAGGUGUCCUGUGAGGGAUGCUGGAGGUAUCGGAAGUGAGAAUGCUGACAUGAGUAGCGAUAAAGAGGGUGAGAGACCCUCUCGCCGAAAGUCCAAGGGUUCCUGCGUAAAGCUAAUCUGCGCAGGGUUAGCCGGCCCCUAAGGCGAGGCCGAAAGGCGUAGUCGAUGGGAACACAGUUAAUAUUCUGUGGCCUGGGAGUGUGUGACGGAUUUCGAAAGUUGUUUUCCCUUAUUGGAUUGGGAAGGCGGCCUGGAAGUCCCUGGAAAUAGCCCUCCCGCAAGACCGUACCCUAAACCGACACAGGUGGACUGGCAGAGCAUGCCAAGGCGCUUGAGAGAACGAUGCUGAAGGAACUCGGCAAAUUACCUCCGUAACUUCGGGAGAAGGAGGCCUC
This 527-nucleotide ribosomal RNA is filed under the name Chloropicon laureae. RNAcentral describes it as "partial Bacterial large subunit ribosomal RNA". It matches the Rfam family "Bacterial large subunit ribosomal RNA", at positions 1114 to 1753 of the family's 2925-position model. The record is from RNAcentral. Lineage: Eukaryota; Viridiplantae; Chlorophyta; Chloropicophyceae; Chloropicales; Chloropicaceae.